RNAcentral lists this long non-coding RNA (5798 nucleotides) under Zostera marina. Its description in RNAcentral is "long non-coding RNA (ZMAR_LNC002677)". The record is from RNAcentral. Lineage: Eukaryota; Viridiplantae; Streptophyta; Magnoliopsida; Alismatales; Zosteraceae.
UUGAAGUUAGCAAAACAACCAGAACAAAUAUUAGAAAGAAAACAGGAAGAGUAUGUAGAGGGAAAACCACUGAUGACAGGAGAUUCAAGUAAAUCCAAGGUUGAAGCUCUAGUAGACCCAGAAAGGUCAGCAUAUGCAGCUAGCAUGCAUGGAAAUUCUGAUUACUCACCUCCAAAGCACAUCAAAUUCGAUAUGCCAAGAUUUGAUGGAAAUGAACCAGAGCUUUGGAAAUUCAUGGCUAGAAGGUUUUUCAUAUUUCAUAAUACUCCAAAGGAUCAGAAACUUAUAAUUGCAUCUUUUAACAUGCAAGGAGUGACACUCAAAUGGUUUCUAUGGAUGGAAUCGAGAAACUACUUAACUACAUGGUCUGCCUUUGUUAAAUCCCUUCUUAAGAAAUUUAAUCCAACUACAUAUACCAUUCCAGGUGGGAAAUUAAGCAAGCUAGUUCAGACUACUACAGUGGCAGAUUUUGUCGAGAAAUUUGAAGAUUAUUCAUCCAAGGUGGUGGGAAUCCCUGAUUGGCUCUUCCUAGAGAUGUUUCUAUCUGGAUUGAAAGAUGAAGUUCAAAAAGAGGUAGUCAGGGCAAAAUUAGAAGAUCUACAAAAGGCUAUGGAACUAGCUUUACACCUAGAAAAGCAAGGUACGAGCAGCACUUCUACAUUUAAACAAGGAGGAUAUAAAGCAAUCCAAGGCAGAUCCUAUUACACUAAGACAGGCGGUGGAGGAAUUCUAAACACUCCUACAAAUCAUGGUUGGGUAACUAAUUCAGCAAACAACACUAAUAAGGCAGAAAAUCCAAAUCCAAAUUUCAAGAGGCUCACAUUUGCUGAAAGAAAAGAGAGGACUUCUAAAGGGCUAUGCUUCAACUGUGAUGAAAAAUUCACACCCGGACACAAAUGUAAGGGCAAACUGUUUAGGUUUUCAGCAGAAGACAACACCUUCUGGGAGUUAGUUGAUGAAGAGGAAGAAGUGGAAAUAAAAAUUCUGGAAAUAGAAGAGGAAUCUGAAAUUAGCAUGCAAGCCUUACAAGGAAGGAUUGGCAUGAGAACAAUCAGAUUAGAAGGAUUCAUCAAGAGUCAAGGGGUAAGUAUACUCAUAGACACAGGGUCCACCCACAACUUCCUGCAAAAAGAAGUUGCAAAAAAACUUACAGUUGACAAUAUGUGCCAUAAAUCCUUUCAAGGUGUCAACUGGUAGUGGUGAAAAACUCCUAUGUGAUAAAGUUUGCAAGAAUGUGAAGAUUAAGAUCCAAGGAACUCUAAUAACCUUAGAUCUAUUCCUAUCACAUAUGGAUGGAGCUAAUGUUGUUAUUGGCACACAAUGACUAAAACAAUUGGGAGAUGUUGUCUCUAAUUACAAGGAGUUAGUCAUGAAAUUUUUUUGGAAGGGAGAACAAGUUAUUUGGCAAGGACUAUCAUGGCUGGACAGUGAUCCCUCAACAUCAGGCUAGUUAAAAUCACUUGAGAAAUCAGCAACAGAAGCCUUUCUAUACUACUUUGAAGCAGUAAACAAUAGUGAUGGAAAUGAGUUAAAUUCUGAAAUUCCAACUGUAAAAGAGAUAAUUGAAGAAAAUUCUGAAAUUUUUGAAGAACCUAAAGGACUUCCUCCUCAUAGGGAGUAUGAUCAUCACAUACAUCUAGAACCCUAUUCGGCACCUAUAAAUGUAAGGCCUUACAAGUAUCCCCAAUUUCAGAAGGGAGAGAUUGAAAAAUUAAUAAGGGAGUUACUGCAACAAGGCACUAUACAACCCAACAUCAGUCCUCACUCCUCACCUGUCCUAUUAGUAAAGAAGAAAGAUGGUGGGUAUAGACUAUGUGUAGAUUAUAGAGCCCUAAAUGCCAUCACCAUCAAAGAUAAAUUCCCUAUACCUACUGCGGAUGAGCUAUUGGGAGAAUUGAGAGGUUUUAAAAUAUUUUCCAAAUUAUAUUUGAAGUCUGGCUUCCAUCAAAUCAGAAUAGAUUCUAAGGAUGCAGAAAAAACUGCCUUCAGGACUCACCAAGACCACUACGAAUUUUUGGUGAUGCCCUUUGGACUAACCAAUGUUCCUGCCACAUUUCAAGCUGUAAUGAAUAGAGUUUUCCAGCAAUACUUAAGGAAGUUCGUUAUAAUUUUCUUUGAUGAUAUUCUGAUAUACAGUUCUUUAUUGGAAAAUCACUUACAACAUCUGAAGAUCAUAUUUGACAUCUUAAAUAAACAUCAGCUCCUAGCCAAGAAAUCCAAAUGCUCUUUUGGACAACCUUCUAUGGGAUUCUUGGGUCAUAUUAUCAGUCAGGAAGGAGUAAAUCCCGAUUCUGUAAAAAUACAAGCUAUUUUGGGAUGGCCAAUCCCCAAGACCUUGAAGCAACUGAGAGGAUUCUUAGGAUUGAGCAAGGUUUAAAAACCGGCGGUUAACCGGCUGACCGGUAAAAUCCCACUAACCGGUGACCGGUUAGUUGGGACGGGUAAAUGGGUCGAUGGGGUGGGGUCUGACCCGUACCCGACCCGGUUACCCGUCCCUGUUACCCGUCUCGGAUAUAAUUAAUUCACUUAUGGGCUUUAUUUAAUAAAGCCCAUUAUGUUUAAUUUAUUAAAGCCUCAUUUCAAGUUAUUUGAAACCCUAUAAGUUCAUUUAAUAAAGCCUCAAAGAAUAAGUUUAAAUCUUAUUCUUUGCAACCCUAGCCGUUGCCUCCUUCUUCCUUAUAAUUCUUUUUCUCCUCCACUCCUUAGAAUAAGUUUAUGAUAUUUUUAUUUAUAUAAACAGGGAUAUAAACAUGGAUAUAAACAUGGAAUAGAUAUAUAAGUAUAUAACAUAAUUUCUGUUUUUUUUAAAAAAUUACCAAAAUACCCCUACCGGUUAACCACUGGUUAACCGGUGGUUAACCGGUCUAACCGGAUAACCGGUAAGCCAGAACCGGUUACCGGUUAACCGGUUUUUAAACCUUGGGAUUGAGUGGAUAUUACAGGAGAUUCAUUAAGGGGUAUGCUCAACUAGCCACGCCCAUGACUGAGUUAUUAAAAAAGACGCCUUCAAGUGGUCAGAGGAAGCCACCAAGAGUUUUGAAGUGUUAAAAACUGCCAUGACAUCAGCUCCAAUCCUCCAGUUCUCAAAUUUUCAGAAGGAGUUCACUGUCGAGACAGAUGCCUGCAACACUGGAAUAGGGGUUGUCUUAUUACAAGAAAAUCUCCCUAUUGCCUUCUUCAGUAGCAAGAUAAGUGGGAGGUUAUCGGCAGCUUCUGUUUACAUCAAGGAGAUGCAUGCUAUCACUCAAUCGGUGGCAAAAUGGAGACAUUAUCUCUUUGAUAGGCAUUUUAUCAUAAAAACUGAUCACAGAAGUUUGAAAAACCUAUUGACUCAAGUAAUACAAACACCCGAAUAACAGGUAUUUCUUUGUAAGCUAUUAGGCUAUGAUUUCUUUAUUAUUUAUAAACCUGGGAAAUUCAACCAAGUGGCAAAUGUAUUAUCUAGAAGCCACGAGACUGAAGAAGAAAUUCUAUAUUCAAACAAGGCAGAAGUUACCAAGGGAUCUAUGUUAGCUUUUUCUAUUCCCAUACACCAACUUAUUGAAGAAAUAAAACUGUUUAAUGUGAAUUCAGAGAAGGCUAAGGUGUACAUAGAAGGAAUCCUUGAAGAUAACUUAAAAUCCCAAGGCUAUGCUUUCAGAAAUGGGCUGAUAUUUUUUAAAAGAAGAAUACUACUCAUACAAGGGUCUGAAAUAAUCUCUAGAGUAUUGCAGGAGUUCCAUGAUAGUUACGUGGGAGGUUAUUCGGGAGUAGAAAGAACAUUCAGCAGGAUAUCCAAAAAAAUUUGGUGGCAAGGAAUGUGAAAAGAGAUAAAGAAAUAUGUGAAGGAAUGUGCUAUCUGUCAAAAGAUUAAACCCUCAAAUUAGAAAAGCAAUGGGCUUCUCAUGCCACUGCCAAUUCCAUCUUCAGUUUGGCAAGAUAUUUCAGUAGACUUUAUCACUGGUCUACCCAAGGUACAAAAUAAAUCUGUGAUCAUAGUAGUGGUAGAUAGACUCUCUAAAUCAUGUCAUUUAGGAGCACCCACUUCUAAUUAUAAUGCUUUUAUGGUUGCUGAAUUUUUUGUCAAUGAGAUCAUUAGACUACAUGGGUAUCACAACUCUAUUGUAUCUAACAGAGACAAGGUAUUUGUAUCCAAGUUCUGGAAGGAACUAAAUAAAUUGAGUGGAACUAAACUCAAUUUCACUUCUGCCUACCAUCCACAAAGUGAUGGCCAAACAGAAGUAGUUAACAGAGGCAUCGAAAUGUAUUUAAGAGCUAUGGUCCAUGAAGAACCUAAAGAGUGGUUAAACUCCUUCCAUGGGCAGAAUUAUGGUUUAACACUAAUUAUAAUGCUUCUCUAGGACAAAUACCCUUUCAGACAUUAUAUGGAAGAGAGACAGCCUUGUUUUCCAAUUAUAUGAAAGUUCCAAUAUUGAUGCAGUAAAUGGGGAAAUUCAGUUAAGAAAAGAAGCAUUGGAGGUUGUCAAAAGAAACUUAGCUAAAGCCCAAAGCAGAAUGAAGAUUAAUGCAGAUAAAGGAAGGAGAGAAAUGGAAUUCAAAGAAGGUGAUUUGAUGUUAGUUAAAUUACAGCCAUAUCGACAAUUAACAGUGGCAUUCAGAUUAAAUAACAAAAUGAGUCAAAAAUAUUUCAGACCAUACAAGAUCAAGAAGAAGAUAAAUAAAGUGGCUUACAAGCUUCAUCUACCAGAAGGAAGCAGAAUUCAUGAUUGUUUUCACAUCAGCAAGUUAAAAGCAUUCCAUGGUCCAGAGCAACCUGCAAAUUGGGAAAAACAACCCAUAAUUUCAGUAAGAAAUAAUUCCAUUCAUUAUCCUAUAGCUAUUCUUGAUUGCAGGGAGGUUUAUAAGCAAGGAAAAAGAGUACCCCAAUCUCUGAUUCAAUGGAGUGGAGCAUUUCUUGAAGAUUCAUCAUGGGAAGACGAUGAUUGCUUGAAGAAGCUCUUCCCUUCUAUCCACCUUGAGGACAAGGUGAAUCCUUGGGGGAGGUAGUCUUGUUACGGAGAAGGUAGUGAAAGAUCUGAAGAAGAUAGCAUCAUUGAUGGAAGAAAUAAAAGAUGAACAGGAGCCGGAGUGAGGUAACUGCAGCAACGUCUCCGGUGAGGAAUCCGAGAAGAAAUUAGGUCCGUCUGCCCAAGCCGUCCGGAGCUCAAAUCGAAAUAGAAAACCCUCACAUUGGGUAAACCGAUUUCACCACUUAGAAAGAGGGCAAACCCGAUUAGAGGAAGGUGAUUAAUUAAUUAGUUAAAUUAAUAUUUUUAGACUUAAUUAAUCAUAAAUUGUAAGAGUGUUAAAAUCCGAGCCUCACUCCACAAUCAGUCACCAAACUUCAGACGUCCUCCUAGCAAGCCACCACGACAUUCGGGAUACUUUCAAUUUCGCGAAAGGAGCCUCAUAGCAACAUCCUCCAAAUCUCCCAACACUACAACCCAACAAAGUUCAAUUCAGAAAUUAAUUUUUUUUUAGCUCGUAUUUUGAUCGGAGACAUUGGGUCUAUCCAGGUCCUAUUAAUUUCAUAAAAAUCUGGAUUAAUCCUUAAUACAAUUGAUCCUUAUCAUAAUCCUCCCUUCUCGAGGUAUUGGAAUCGUAAAUCCUUAUUUCAUUCGCAUCAUAUGUAACUAAUUUUCUAAUCCACUUAUUCCUUCUCUCUCCUCUUCCUCAGUUGAAACAUCCUCGAAGUGAAAUAAAAAAUAUAAUAUAUUAAUUUUUUAAUGGUUAUUGUAAUUUGUGAUCCCACGUAAUCCUAUUUAAAAUGUCCAAAACCCUCACGGGUUCAAUAUAAAUAAAAUCCAAGCACUCUUGAC